RNAcentral lists this ribosomal RNA (606 nucleotides) under Salmonella enterica. RNAcentral describes it as "partial 23S ribosomal RNA". It matches the Rfam family "Bacterial large subunit ribosomal RNA", at positions 40 to 688 of the family's 2925-position model. The record is from RNAcentral. Lineage: Bacteria; Pseudomonadati; Pseudomonadota; Gammaproteobacteria; Enterobacterales; Enterobacteriaceae.
UCAGAGGCGAUGAAGGGCGUGCUAAUCUGCGAUAAGCGCCGGUAAGGUGAUAUGAACCGUUAUAACCGGCGAUACCCGAAUGGGGAAACCCAGUGUGACUCGUCACACUAUCAUUAACUGAAUCCAUAGGUUAAUGAGGCGAACCGGGGGAACUGAAACAUCUAAGUACCCCGAGGAAAAGAAAUCAACCGAGAUUCCCCCAGUAGCGGCGAGCGAACGGGGAGGAGCCCAGAGCCUGAAUCAGCAUGUGUGUUAGUGGAAGCGUCUGGAAAGGCGCGCGAUACAGGGUGACAGCCCCGUACACAAAAGCGCAUGUGCUGUGAGCUCGAUGAGUAGGGCGGGACACGUGGUAUCCUGUCUGAAUAUGGGGGGACCAUCCUCCAAGGCUAAAUACUCCUGACUGACCGAUAGUGAACCAGUACCGUGAGGGAAAGGCGAAAAGAACCCCGGCGAGGGGAGUGAAAAAGAACCUGAAACCGUGUACGUACAAGCAGUGGGAGCACCCUUUGGGGUGUGACUGCGUACCUUUUGUAUAAUGGGUCAGCGACUUAUAUUCUGUAGCAAGGUUAACCGAAUAGGGGAGCCGGAGGGAAACCGAGUCUUAAC